This 502-nucleotide long non-coding RNA is filed under the name Pan troglodytes (chimpanzee). RNAcentral describes it as "lincRNA". The stretch from base 9 to 143 matches the Rfam family "JPX transcript, XIST activator conserved region 1". The record is from RNAcentral. Lineage: Eukaryota; Metazoa; Chordata; Mammalia; Primates; Hominidae.
CUAUGCCCUAGGGCUAGUGGAAGACUUAAGAUGGCGGCGUUUGCACGGAGUGCAAUCACUGCGUCCUUACGGGGGUUGCAAGGCGUCCGAAGUAUGAGUCCAGUAACAAAAGGCCAGAAACUCGCCAGUUAAUAGUAUUGUGUCUCUUCAAAAUAUCGGAGAAUAAUUUCUUUCUCGCUGAUCGCCUAACUUCUACUGACGAAGCUAGGAAGUUGCAGAAGAUGGAGUUCGCUCUUGUUGCCCAGGCUGGAAUGCAAUGGCAUGACCUUGGCUCACUGCAACCUCUGCCUCCCCAGUUCAAGUGAUUCUCCUGCCUCAGCCUCCCGAGUAGCUGGGAUUAUAGGUACUGGCUCCUGUAUCACCCAGCUCUGGAGUUGAAAGAGCUCUUCAUUCCUGAGUCUCCUGUACCACUGAGAAUAGAAAUACAAAAAAAAUUCUAAAACUUGUAUGGAACUACAAAAGACAUUAAAUAAUCAAAGUAAUCUUGAGCAACAAGGACACA